GUACUCGCUUCGGCGGUACAUAUACUAAAAUUGGAACAUUGGAGAGAAGAUUAGCAUGGCCCCUGCGCAAGGAUGACACUCAAAAUCGUGAAGCGAAGCGUUCCACU
This 107-nucleotide small nuclear RNA is filed under the name Rhodnius prolixus. The record is from RNAcentral. Lineage: Eukaryota; Metazoa; Arthropoda; Insecta; Hemiptera; Reduviidae.